Molecule: ribosomal RNA, 250 nt
Filed under: uncultured Bacteroidota bacterium
Lineage: Bacteria; Pseudomonadati; Bacteroidota
Description: uncultured Bacteroidetes bacterium partial 16S ribosomal RNA
Rfam family: Bacterial small subunit ribosomal RNA
Source: RNAcentral
ACACGAGUGGCGAACGGGUGCGUAACGCGUAUGCAACCUACCUUUAACAGAGAGAUAGCCCUGAGAAAUUGGGAUUAAUAUCACAUAAUAUCAUAAUGCAGCAUUGUAUAAUGAUUAAAGCUCCGGCGGUUAAAGAUGGGCAUGCGUGACAUUAGUUAGUUGGUGAGGUAACGGCUCACCAAGACUUCGAUGUCUAGGGGUUCUGAGAGGAUUAUCCCCCACACUGGUACUGAGACACGGACCAGACUCC